UACGUAGGGGGCAAGCGUUGUCCGGAUUUACUGGGCGUAAAGAGCGUGUAGGCGGCCAUGCAGGUCCGUUGUGAAAACUGGAGGCUCAACUUCCAGACGUCGACGGAAACCGCGUGGCUAGAGUCCGGAAGAGGAGAGUGGAAUUCCUGGUGUAGCGGUGAAAUGCGUAGAUAUCGGAAGGAACACCAGUGGCGAAAGCGACUUCCUGGUCCAAUACUGACGUUCAUGUGCGAAAGCGUGGGGAGCAAACAGG
RNAcentral lists this ribosomal RNA (253 nucleotides) under uncultured bacterium. Its description in RNAcentral is "partial 16S ribosomal RNA". It matches the Rfam family "Bacterial small subunit ribosomal RNA", at positions 524 to 776 of the family's 1533-position model. The record is from RNAcentral.